Molecule: ribosomal RNA, 507 nt
Filed under: Protohermes sabahensis
Lineage: Eukaryota; Metazoa; Arthropoda; Insecta; Megaloptera; Corydalidae
Description: partial 16S ribosomal RNA
Rfam family: Bacterial large subunit ribosomal RNA
Source: RNAcentral
GUCUUUUAGAUUAUAAUUUAAAGUCUAACCUGCCCACUGAAUUUUUUGAAGGGCCGCGGUAUUUUGACUGUGCAAAGGUAGCAUAAUCAUUAGUCUUUUAAUUGGAGGCUUGUAUGAAUGGUUGGAUGAAACAUUAACUGUCUCGGUUUAAUAAAAAUAGAAUUUAAUUUUUAAGUUAAAAAGCUUAAAUUUAAUUAGAGGACGAGAAGACCCUAUAGAUCUUUAUAAUAAAUUAUUUAUUAUUAAUUUAGAAUAAUAAUUUAUAUUAAUUAAUUUAUUAUUUUAUUGGGGUGAUAGAUAAAUUUAGUAAACUUUAUUUUAUAAAAACAUUUAUUUAUGAAUUUUUGAUCCAUUUUUAGUGAUUAGAAGAUUAAGUUACCUUAGGGAUAACAGCGUAAUUUUUUUAGAGAGUUCUAAUCGAUAAAAAAGUUUGCGACCUCGAUGUUGAAUUAAAGGUUAAUUUUAGGUGUAGAAGUUUAAAGUUUUGGUCUGUUCGACCAUUAAAUC